GACGAACGCUGGCGGCGUGCUUAACACAUGCAAGUCGAGCGGUAAGGCCCUUUCGGGGGUACACGAGCGGCGAACGGGUGAGUAACACGUGGGUGACCUGCCCUCAGCUCUGGGAUAAGCCUGGGAAACUGGGUCUAAUACUGGAUAUGACUCCACGGUGCAUGUCGUGGGGUGGAAAGCCUUGUGCGGCUGAGGAUGGGCCCGCGGCCUAUCAGCUUGUUGGUGGGGUGANGGCCUACCAAGGCGACGACGGGUAGCCGGCCUGAGAGGGCGACCGGCCACACUGGGACUGAGAUACGGCCCAGACUCCUACGGGAGGCAGCAGUGGGGAAGUCUUGCGCAAUGGGCGAAAGCCUGACGCAGCGACGCCGCGUGAGGGAUGACGGCCU
RNAcentral lists this ribosomal RNA (389 nucleotides) under uncultured bacterium. RNAcentral describes it as "bacterial SSU rRNA". It matches the Rfam family "Bacterial small subunit ribosomal RNA", at positions 28 to 417 of the family's 1533-position model. The record is from RNAcentral.